RNAcentral lists this ribosomal RNA (380 nucleotides) under uncultured eukaryote. RNAcentral's name for it is "partial 18S ribosomal RNA". It matches the Rfam family "Eukaryotic small subunit ribosomal RNA", at positions 592 to 976 of the family's 1831-position model. The record is from RNAcentral.
CAAUAGUGUAUAUUAAAGUUGUUGCAGUUAAAAAGCUCGUAGUUGGAUCUGUGGUGUGCGGUGGGCUCCGGGCACUUGUUGUCUGAGUAGCUCGCCGCUGCCAUCCUUGGGUGGAACCUGUGUGGCAUUGGGUUGUCGUGCAGGGGAUGCCCAUCGUUUACUGUGAAAAAAUUAGAGUGUUCAAAGCAGGCUUAUGCCGUUGAAUAUAUUAGCAUGGAAUAAUGAGAUAGGACUUUUUCGCUAUUUUGUUGGUUUGCGCGAAGAGGUAAUGAUUAAUAGGGACAGUUGGGGGUAUUCGUAUUCCAUUGUCAGAGGUGAAAUUCUUGGAUUUUUGGAAGACGAGCUACUGCGAAAGCAUUUACCAAGGAUGUUUUCAUUAA